RNAcentral lists this ribosomal RNA (481 nucleotides) under Nocardia wallacei. RNAcentral describes it as "bacterial SSU rRNA". It matches the Rfam family "Bacterial small subunit ribosomal RNA", at positions 16 to 514 of the family's 1533-position model. Lineage: Bacteria; Bacillati; Actinomycetota; Actinomycetes; Mycobacteriales; Nocardiaceae. The record is from RNAcentral.
AUCCUGGCUCAGGACGAACGCUGGCGGCGUGCUUAACACAUGCAAGUCGAGCGGUAAGGCCCUUCGGGGUACACGAGCGGCGAACGGGUGAGUAACACGUGGGUGAUCUGCCUCGUACUCUGGGAUAAGCCUGGGAAACUGGGUCUAAUACCGGAUAUGACCACGAGUCGCAUGGUUUGUGGUGGAAAGAUUUAUCGGUGCGAGAUGGGCCCGCGGCCUAUCAGCUUGUUGGUGGGGUAAUGGCCUACCAAGGCGACGACGGGUAGCCGGCCUGAGAGGGCGACCGGCCACACUGGGACUGAGACACGGCCCAGACUCCUACGGGAGGCAGCAGUGGGGAAUAUUGCACAAUGGGCGGAAGCCUGAUGCAGCGACGCCGCGUGCGGGAUGACGGCCUUCGGGUUGUAAACCGCUUUCGACAGGGACGAAGCGUGAGUGACGGUACCUGUAGAAGAAGCACCGGCCAACUACGUGCCAGCAG